Molecule: ribosomal RNA, 468 nt
Filed under: uncultured bacterium
Lineage: Bacteria
Description: partial 16S ribosomal RNA
Rfam family: Bacterial small subunit ribosomal RNA
Source: RNAcentral
GACGAACGCAGGCGGCGUGCUUAACACAUGCAAGUCGAACGGAAAGGCCCUGCUUUUGUGGGGUGCUCGAGUGGCGAACGGGUGAGUAACACGUGAGUAACCUGCCCUUGACUUUGGGAUAACUUCAGGAAACUGGGGCUAAUACCGGAUAGGAGCUCCUGCUGCAUGGUGGGGGUUGGAAAGUUUCGGUGGUUGGGGAUAGACUCGCGGCUUAUCAGCUUGUUGGUGGGGUAGUGGCUUACCAAGGCUUUGACGGGUAGCCGGCCUGAGAGGGUUACCGGCCACAUGGGGACUGCGAGACGGCGCAGACUCCUACGGGGGGCAGCAGUGGGGAAUAUUGCACAAUGGGCGGAAGCCUGAUGCAGCAGCGCCGCGUGCGGGAUGACGGCCUUCGGGUGGUAAACCGCUUUCGCCUGUGACGAAGCGUGAGUGACGGUAAUGGGUAAAGAAGCACCGGCUAACUACGUG